GUUCCCUCACCAUCUGCAGGUCAUCAUCCUUAAGGGCUCCACCAUCUGCAGUGUCUACAGUGGACUAUUUGCAUCUUCAGUGCAAAUACCUGAUUGUAUAUGGAUGGAUUGUAGGGUCUAACCACCUUGAUUUGAUUCGGGCUGGAGCAGCAGCAGCAGGUCCUUCCUUCCAUGGAGGGCAUCCACAACAUGACCCGCACAAGGAGCUCCAAGCAGACAAAGCACAGGUUUCUUUGUUUGUAAAUUAAGCAGUCUGGUAGAUUUGGAAAGGAGGAACAGGGUACUGAACUUUUAUAUAUCUGCACAAGGAAUACUAUGUUAUGUAAGAACAUGGCGGUGCAGUCACCCGAGGUGAAGAAGCUCUGUCACCUACCUCUACAUCCUCCACUAGGCUG
Long non-coding RNA from Triticum dicoccoides, 395 nucleotides. RefSeq lists it as uncharacterized. The record is from RefSeq and is a predicted model, not a curated record. The transcript is spliced from 4 exons. Lineage: Eukaryota; Viridiplantae; Streptophyta; Magnoliopsida; Poales; Poaceae.